Molecule: long non-coding RNA, 577 nt
Organism: Triplophysa dalaica
Lineage: Eukaryota; Metazoa; Chordata; Actinopteri; Cypriniformes; Nemacheilidae
Exons: 4
Source: RefSeq, a predicted model, not a curated record
UCCCUUAUGAAUAGUUUGGAGUAGUGGGGAGCUGGGUGGGGUGGAUGGGGUGUGCAAUCAUUGCCCAGGCGGAUAAAAGCAGGGCACAUAUCUUAACUUUCCAUACGAGCCAUAUAGUGAGAAUGUCGAACACAGUCUCUCUGGUUUUUGUCCUGGUGAUUUUAACCACGAUUUUGUGCAACAACUCAGUCUGUUGCAGAGGAUCUUGGAAAGGACGGAUCAGAUGUGGUUGUAAAAUUCAUCCUGAAAAAGGUCUACAAUGCUCAAAGAGACACAAUUUAAAAACUAUGGAUGACAUGAUGCAAUGUAUUUGCAGGAACCCCCGCACUUACUUAACUGAUAGCUCCAAGAUGCUGUUUCGGAAGAUGUGCACGCCAAACGUAUCUACUCCUUUGUGACUAGAUGGAAGUUUGAAGUUAUCAGUAGAAAUUAUAACCUAUGUACCCCACAUGCAUGUUUAAAUCUUUACAAAGAAAAAUGCUUAAAAAAGACUAUCUUUACAAUAUCGCUGAUUUAAAAGUUAAGUGUUGUAUUCAUACAAGAUGAAUUUUAAAUCCAUAUAAUAAAACUACGCUAA